ACGUACACUCCUACGGGAGGCAGCAGUGGGGAAUAUUGGACAAUGGGCGCAAGCCUGAUCCAGCCAUGCCGCGUGAGUGAUGAAGGCCCUAGGGUUGUAAAGCUCUUUCACCGGUGAAGAUAAUGACGGUAACCGGAGAAGAAGCCCCGGCUAACUUCGUGCCAGCAGCCGCGGUAAUACGAAGGGGGCUAGCGUUGUUCGGAUUUACUGGGCGUAAAGCGCACGUAGGCGGACUAUUAAGUCAGGGGUGAAAUCCCGGGGCUCAACCCCGGAACUGCCUUUGAUACUGGUAGUCUUGAGUUCGAGAGAGGUGAGUGGAAUUCCGAGUGUAGAGGUGAAAUUCGUAGAUAUUCGGAGGAACACCAGUGGCGAAGGCGGCUCACUGGCUCGAUACUGACGCUGAGGUGCGAAAGCGUGGGGAGCAAACAGGAUUAGAAACCCUUGUGGUCCCAUG
RNAcentral lists this ribosomal RNA (454 nucleotides) under uncultured organism. Its description in RNAcentral is "partial 16S ribosomal RNA". It matches the Rfam family "Bacterial small subunit ribosomal RNA", at positions 329 to 799 of the family's 1533-position model. The record is from RNAcentral.